Stegodyphus dumicola is the source of this 499-nucleotide long non-coding RNA. The record is from RefSeq and is a predicted model, not a curated record. Lineage: Eukaryota; Metazoa; Arthropoda; Arachnida; Araneae; Eresidae.
CUUCCUACCUAUCAUUCACAAGAGUUUCUGAAAGGAGAUCCUCGCCCAGAAGUAAGAUGCUAGCUGGUUGCUGCCAGGCAAGCAGACUAGAUCCAACAUUUUAUUUAUUUCUGCAAAGAAUAGGCGCAUCUAUGAAAUACAAUACGUGACUUCCUUACAGUGAUAUAGAAGCGAAUUGAUCGGUCCAUGGAUGGAUGAAAUGGAUUGUGGGGUUCACGUCGUGAAAUCUUCCAAGUUCAUAAUGCGCCAACUAUGUGGGAAAAAGAAUCUACUUUAGAAGUUAUUCGGUUUAAUCUACAUAUUAAUUAAAAUUUUUAUAUGGACUUUUAAUAAUAUUUCUCAACAAAUGCUAUUUGAUGAGAUGGAUAUCAUAAAUAAAAUACUCCUCCAAACAGCCUAUAAAAGAUUGAUUAUAAAAUUUAAAAUUUGUGCUCAACAACUUGUACAACUAAAAUAAUAUCAAAUGAAUGUGAAAGAAUUUUAUAGCGCAUGCCUUACA